GAGGAGUCGGGAUGGGUCGCGCGAGAGAAGGAUCAGGUCCCGGUGGUUCUGCAGGAGGCGCGUGCAAAGGGGAACACGCGAGAAUGUUUCAGGGUGAGUUCAGGUUCAGGCCUAGUCUUCUAUAUAUUUCAGUAGGGUGGAACAGAGUAGAUUUAUUGGCCAUGUAGUUGAUUAUUUGAUCAUAUGUUUACUAUAUAGUUUUUCAUUACAUGAACACAUGACUGUAAAGAAAUCUCUCAGUUAAGGUCAGGCAUAUGACAUCUAACUGUACUGCAGUAGCAUGUAUUCAGGUUCAGGCCUUUGUACCAUUGCAGUCUGUAGCAAAUGCAAAACAAUGUUCACUAGUGCAGUUUUGCAAACACCUAUCAGUUGGAUGUCAAGUAAAGUUAUCUAGUCAGGCAUGUAUAUGUCAAAUCCGAACCAUGGUAUGUACUGUAUUACGUGAACAUGAACAUGAAAAGAAGAUAAAAGAGCUAAACUUUGGUAAAAUACAAAUAUGCAUUACACGAUCUACUCAUCAUCACUUGAAUGCUCAUUCUCACUCAAUGCGCCAUCUUCCUGUCCAUCAUCAUCAGUACCACUAUCUUGUGUCUAACAACUGAUCAAUAUCCUUCACAGUUGAAGUUGUCAAGGGCAUUUCUUCCUGGUAUGAACUGGUCAUGUUUCCAAAGGGGUUGAAUCCAUCCGUGGCAAUACCAAGCUUCAUAUUACGGGCAUCCUUAGCGAAACAACUGAACUCACUAUCAAAGUGCUCCCAUGCUUCACCAUCAGCAGGGUGUCUCAUAACAUUUGCCUCAGCAAUCCUCUUCUCCUUAUGCCACCUUGCAUCUGCUGAUUGUUCCUUUGACACAUCUUGAUGUCCCACAUUCAGGACAAUGGCUCUUGUUGGCAUGUUGGCCCAAAAACAAUGCACAAUCAAACUUGGAAACAUGAAUUGUCUCGUAACCCAGCCCGACUUCACUAAGAACAUUCUUAGCUUUAGUGUAUGAUUUAGGUAUAUCAGCAUGUGGAAACGCCACACUAAUAAGCUCAACAAACUGAUUAAAUGCUCUACUUGUAAUCCGCUUGUAUGAUUUGAGAUGGAGGAGCUUAAUAAUGGACGACAGCCGUGUGAAAUCACUACAUCCUUCAUAAAGAUCUUUCUUCGCUUCAUCAAUUAGCUUGGAAAAGAGGUUAGGCUUACCCUUGCCUUGCCUUCCAGACAUGAACAUAUCAUCUACCAUAUACGCAACAUCGCCUCCGUUGCCAACAUCACAGUAAUCAUCAUCUUAUUGAUAUGCAGCACCCUCUGUAUUAUCACCUUCAUCAUCAGUCACCGCUUCACCAUGAAAGUCCCACCUUGUAUAUGUAACAAACAUACCAUUGCAUAAUUUGUGCUCCUCUACUUCAGGCUGGCUCGGUGUUCCAUAUUCAAACAGUCCUUGCAUGGGCACAAUAUGUCCUGAUUUUCCCUGAAAUUUUGGCGAGCGAAACCCAUAAACUCUUCAACACCUUUCAUGUAUGGUGGUGUGAAACGCGUUCCUUGUAUCCAGCUUCGAUCCAUUGCACUACAACAAAAUAGUUUACUGUUAGCAAAUUAUAUGCUUACACCGCAUCGAAGCAAAAUUUACUACUAACACAACUAGUGAACCCACUACCAAACUGAAACAACAAAACAGCCACAAAUUUAACCCUUUCAAGAUUGAUGAAAACAUCUACUCAGGCAAUGAAUUUAGUAGAACCAAACCUCCUUCACAUUGUCUUUCCUAAGUACAGCAUAUAUGCUUGGUUUCCAAAGGCCACGGACUUGUGCAUGUCUUAUACACAAACAUAUAUAUGCUCACUGUCAUUGCAAAACCAUGCAUCUAUCUAUGCUAUAUACAUCAUAGCAACAUUCGUACACACAAUACAAUAGCAGAAGUAACAGUUCAAUCGUUCACACAAUUUACCUUGCAGGGGUCGGCUGGAUCGAUGCUUUGGGAGUUGGGGCCAAGCCGGGAGCACUGGCAAGUCCAAACUCUGCGCCUUUGUCAGGUGAUGGAUGGACAGAAAACUCUGAGCACAGUUGGUGACGGGACGGUGGCCAGUUGGGGACAGGUUGGGGACGAGCCACGUUGUCCCAGUCGUCGACGAGCAAAUGUGAUGCCUGAGGUGGAAGAGCGGAGGUAAGAGGGAGAGGCGGAGGCGCGGUGUGGUAGCCGGUGCGAUGCGGCGGCGCUGUAACGCCUCCUACGAUAUGAUGGCAGAUGGCUGGAUGGAUCCGCUUGACGUGGUACAAGGGAGUGGAUGCACUUACUUGCAAUUGGCAACAGCCAGCCGGAACCGAUCUGUGUCGUGCUUCAGCUAUCACCGUCCUGCUUCUCCCCGCCGCGAAGCGCCGCCAGCUAGAACCGAGAAAACGAUCAGAUCGCGUCACAUAUGCCCCGGGAAGAAAUAACUAACCUACGCCUAGGCGUAUAGUCCAAGAAGAUGGUACGACAAUUUGAAUAGUGUCCAGACUCUUUCCUAGUGGCAACGUUGUUUGUGCAGAUCAUGGUGGUUGCCGGUUCGAACUCCUGUACCAAUUCUUUUUGCAUCGAAUCUCCUGUUUUAAUUUUAAGUUUUCAUAGAUAGAACGAAACAACAUGACCUCACCAGCGCCCCAUUUAAGUUCUUUGCCCAGUCUGUUUACAGAUAAGAAUAAAAAAAAAGUAAGAUGCCAUCGGAUCUCCAAUUUCCAUUUUAACUUUUGAGAUAGAACGAAACAAAACUAGCUCACGAGCGCCCAAUUGAAGUUUUCAGCAUAGACACCGCUGAACAAAAAAAUGUGUUAAAUUUUAUAUUUUUAAUGCCCGAUUAAUUUUUUUGUCAAGUCACUACCUAUUAUAUUAGAAAGAACAAACUAACCAUCUAAAAAAAGAACAAAACAAGGUUUUCCCUAUUUAAGAAUAUAAUAGUCAUAAGUAUUUUCAUGGCCACUACCUACUUAUAUUAGCUAGAACAAAAUAAUUA
Molecule: long non-coding RNA, 2970 nt
Filed under: Triticum aestivum (bread wheat)
Lineage: Eukaryota; Viridiplantae; Streptophyta; Magnoliopsida; Poales; Poaceae
Description: long non-coding RNA (TAES_LNC000853)
Source: RNAcentral